RNAcentral lists this long non-coding RNA (219 nucleotides) under Brassica napus (rape). RNAcentral describes it as "long non-coding RNA (BNAP_LNC023015)". Lineage: Eukaryota; Viridiplantae; Streptophyta; Magnoliopsida; Brassicales; Brassicaceae. The record is from RNAcentral.
UUAACCCAAAGUAUUAUGAAGUGAAGUGAGAUGCUUCCUCCAACCCAUCAACUAUUGAACCAUAAAAUCCACUUUCUUUUUGUUCCAGCAGUGCGACCAAAAUACUCUUUCCUUCUCUGUUUUUAUUCUAUCUCCCCGUUACCUAAACGCCCUCAUAUGGCCUUUCUCUUAUGUGUUUUUUAACCUAGACGUUGGAAAACCAUUGAAACAUUCUACCAC